GUCUUUUUGAAAAUGAUUUAAGGUUGGGCCUGCUCAAUGAUUAAAUUAAAUAGCUGCAGUAUUUUGACUGUACUAAGGUAGCAUAAUCAUUAGUUUCUUAAUUGGGAACUGGAAUGAAGGGUUUGAUGAAAAAAUAACUGUCUCUUUUAUAAAUAUAGAAAUUUAUUUUUAAGUAAAAAAGCUUAAAUAUAAUUAAAAGACGAGAAGACCCUAUAGAGUUUAAUAAUUUAAUAAUAAGUGUUUAUGAAGUUGAUAAUUUAUUUUAAUUACUAAAAUUAUUUGGUUGGGGUGAUUUAAAAAUUUGUUAAACUUUUUAUUUUUUGAAACUUAAAUGUAAGGUUUAUUUGAUCCAUUAGUAGUGAUUAUGAGAAUAAAUUACCUUAGGGAUAACAGCGUAAUCUUUUUUUAGAGUUCAAAUUAAUAAAAGGGAUUGCGA
Molecule: ribosomal RNA, 436 nt
Filed under: Cryptocephalus ramburii
Lineage: Eukaryota; Metazoa; Arthropoda; Insecta; Coleoptera; Chrysomelidae
Description: partial 16S large subunit ribosomal RNA
Source: RNAcentral